This 543-nucleotide unclassified non-coding RNA is filed under the name Hevea brasiliensis (rubber tree). Lineage: Eukaryota; Viridiplantae; Streptophyta; Magnoliopsida; Malpighiales; Euphorbiaceae. The record is from RNAcentral.
UUAGUUUUGGUGUAUUAGUGCUAGAGAUAGUCAAUGGGAAGAGAAAUAGAGGAUUCUAUCAUCCAGACCACCAGCACAACCUUCUUGGGCAUGCAUGGAGACUCUAUUUAGAAGAGAAGUCAUCGGAGUUGAUCGAUGAAUCUUUAAAGGAUUCUUGCAUUUUAUCUCAAGUGAUGCGUUCAAUCCAUGUUGGUUUAUUAUGUGUACAACAAAGUCCAGAAGAUAGGCCUAACAUGUCAACAGUGAUAUUGAUGCUAAGUAGUGAGAUUGCAUUGCCUCAACCUAAAGAGCCUGGUUUUUUUCACUGAAAGGAGAGUUUUUGAGCACGAAUCAUCCUCUAGCAAGGUUGAUACAUGUUCAGCAAAUGAAAUUACCAUUACAUUGUUAGCUGCAAGAUGAAGAACGUUGUUCCCUAGUUGUUUUCAUGCCUUACGUUAUUGAGUAUAUCGACCAUAUUUCUGUAAAUUGGUAGGGCCAGGGGAGCUAGUCAAACAGCCUUUGAUAUGGGUUUUUAAGUGCAAUAGAAAAGUGAUUUUUUUUUUU